AAUGAACGCUGGCGGCAGGCCUAACACAUGCAAGUCGAACGAAGUCUUCGGACUUAGUGGCGGACGGGUGAGUAACGCGUGGGAACAUACCCUUUGGUACGGAAUAGCCUCGGGAAACUGGGAGUAAUACCGUAUGUGCCCUUCGGGGGAAAGAUUUAUCGCCAAAGGAUUGGCCCGCGUUGGAUUAGGUAGUUGGUGGGGUAAUGGCCUACCAAGCCGACGAUCCAUAGCUGGUUUGAGAGGAUGAUCAGCCACACUGGGACUGAGACACGGCCCAGACUCCUACGGGAGGCAGCAGUGGGGAAUCUUAGACAAUGGGCGCAAGCCUGAUCUAGCCAUGCCGCGUGAUCGAUGAAGGCCUUAGGGUUNUAAAGAUCUUUCAGAUGGGAAGAUAAUGACGGUACCAUCAGAAGAAGCCCCGGCUAACUCCGUG
Molecule: ribosomal RNA, 433 nt
Filed under: uncultured bacterium
Lineage: Bacteria
Description: bacterial SSU rRNA
Rfam family: Bacterial small subunit ribosomal RNA
Source: RNAcentral